GCGCGCUCGCCGCUCCCGGGUGUAACCGCGCCCGCCCCCACGGGAAAAUGGGCACACUCGAGGGCAGUAAGCCCCGGAGCACCGAGAACCCCCUCCCAGCCAUCAGGAAGAAAAGGGAGAUAGGCAGGCAGAAAAGGGGCGAUGGGGAGAUGCAAGGGGCGCUGGAAUGUCCCAGGGAGUGAGGGCAGGAAUGGGGACUGUGUGACCGCGGCAAGCUGGAUCCUGUCGGCGCAGAGGUGCGCUCAGUUGGUGGGUGUCUCAGCCACCAGCGAAGCCUCCCAGCUAUUACCCAGCCAUGUUGGCGGGAAAAGUGUAAGAAACGUUGUGUUUGCUUCUGAGUGAGGCUUGCUAAGCCCUACCAGAGAAGCCAGACGGGCAGGGUGGCCUUCAGCUGAGUACAGGGGUGAGGGGACGAAUGGGCAGAGGAAGGGGUCCUGGGUUAAGAGGACGUCUGGUUCUGUGGGGUUUUGGAAUCUCUUGGGGCUCUCCUCAGACAGAGGAGAUAGAAGGUGCGUGUGGGAGGAAAAUGCAGAGUAAGGGACACCCAGAUCCAGGGAGGCUCGGCGCUGUCUCCCUGCCAGCACCUAACCCCCUCCCUGGUGCAUUCUCUUGUUUCCUCAGCAGUAAUGGGGGAGCCUGACUUCGCUGAAAGGGCCCCUCCUCCAGUUGCAUCUUUGUCAGCUCUAUCUGCUUCCUCCCAGUGUUAAGGCCCCCUCCCUCCCAAGCCAUCGGAGCAUGAGGAAGCCUUGGUUCCACACAGCUGGGCUUCUUGCUCACAGGCUAACGCAGAUGCCCUUUGCCCUUGUGAAGCUGGUGGGAAGUUGCAGAAGCUGAAACGGAGCCUGUGGCUGGGCACCAGCCCCUGGAAUAGAGGAACUUUCACCGAGAGCAAGCUGCGACGUUGGGGCUGCCUACAGAGGGAACAAGGAAUUGAGACCUCUCCCUGAUGCCCCCAAGAAACUGAAUUCUGCCAACCACCUCAUGAGCUUGCAAGCAGAUUCCUCCCCAGUCAAGCCUCAGAUGAGACCUCAGCCCUAGCCAACACCUUGAUGGCAGCCCUGCAGAAGUCCCAGUCCAGGAUGUCCAGACUUCUGUGAGAAAUUGUGAUAUAAUAAAUGUGUACUGCUUUAAGCGG
This is a long non-coding RNA of Myotis brandtii (Brandt's bat), 1135 nucleotides long. RefSeq lists it as uncharacterized. The transcript is spliced from 2 exons. The record is from RefSeq and is a predicted model, not a curated record. NCBI's taxonomy places the organism in Eukaryota, Metazoa, Chordata, Mammalia, Chiroptera, Vespertilionidae.